ACUUGAAUGAGCUUGCACUAGUAGCUCAGCAUCAGAGCCCUGGUCUUGUAAACCAGAUGUCGGAGGUUAAAAUCCUCCCUACUGCU
RNAcentral lists this transfer RNA (86 nucleotides) under Sebastiscus marmoratus (false kelpfish). Its description in RNAcentral is "partial tRNA-Thr". The stretch from base 15 to 86 matches the Rfam family "tRNA". From Rfam's summary of the family: Transfer RNA (tRNA) molecules are approximately 80 nucleotides in length. Their secondary structure includes four short double-helical elements and three loops (D, anti-codon, and T loops). The record is from RNAcentral. Lineage: Eukaryota; Metazoa; Chordata; Actinopteri; Perciformes; Sebastidae.